Molecule: ribosomal RNA, 457 nt
Filed under: Capnocytophaga granulosa
Lineage: Bacteria; Pseudomonadati; Bacteroidota; Flavobacteriia; Flavobacteriales; Flavobacteriaceae
Description: bacterial SSU rRNA
Rfam family: Bacterial small subunit ribosomal RNA
Source: RNAcentral
GAUGAACGCUAGCGGCAGGCCUAACACAUGCAAGUCGAGGGAGAAGCCCUUCGGGGCAGAAACCGGCGCACGGGUGCGUAACGCGUAUGCAACCUACCUUUCACAGGGGGAUAGCCCGAAGAAAUUUGGAUUAAUACCCCAUAAUAUUAUUGGAUGGCAUCAUUUGAUAAUUAAAAUUACGAUGGUGAAAGAUGGGCAUGCGUCCUAUUAGCUAGUUGGAGUGGUAACGGCACCCCAAGGCUACGAUAGGUAGGGGUCCUGAGAGGGAGAUCCCCCACACUGGUACUGAGACAGGGACCAGACUCCUACGGGAGGCAGCAGUGAGGAAUAUUGGUCAAUGGUCGGAAGACUGAACCAGCCAUGCCGCGUGCAGGAAGAAUGCCUUAUGGGUUGUAAACUGCUUUUAUAUGGGAAGAAUAAGGAGUACGCGUACUUUGAUGACGUACCAUAUGAAUAA